This 384-nucleotide ribosomal RNA is filed under the name uncultured eukaryote. RNAcentral describes it as "partial 18S ribosomal RNA". It matches the Rfam family "Eukaryotic small subunit ribosomal RNA", at positions 592 to 976 of the family's 1831-position model. The record is from RNAcentral.
CAAUAGCGUAUAUUAAAGUUGUUGCGGUUAAAAAGCUCGUAGUUGGAUUUCGGCGGACAGGGGGCGGUUCGAUAUUUGUCGCUACUGCCCCAUUUGUCCGUGUUUUUGGCGGAGGUUUCAGGGUGCUCUUCACCGAGUGUCCUGGGAUGCCAUCAGGUUUACUUUGAAAAAAUUAGAGUGCUCAAAGCAGGCUUUACACGCUUGAAUAUUCGUGCAUGGAAUAAUGGAAUAGGACGUCGUUUCUAUUUUGUUGGUUUUCGGAAAUCGACGUAAUGAUUAACAGGGACAGUCGGGGGCAUUAGUAUUCAGACGACAGAGGUGAAAUUCUUGGACCGUCUGAAGACUAACUACUGCGAAAGCAUUUGCCAAGAAUGUUUUCAUUAA